GUGGUUGUAGCUCAGUUGGUUAGAGCGCUGGAUUGUGGUUCCAGAGGUCGCCGGUUCGAAACCGGUCUUCCACCCA
RNAcentral lists this transfer RNA (76 nucleotides) under Carboxylicivirga sp. M1479. Its description in RNAcentral is "tRNA-His". It matches the Rfam family "tRNA". From Rfam's summary of the family: Transfer RNA (tRNA) molecules are approximately 80 nucleotides in length. Lineage: Bacteria; Pseudomonadati; Bacteroidota; Bacteroidia; Marinilabiliales; Marinilabiliaceae. The record is from RNAcentral.